RNAcentral lists this long non-coding RNA (329 nucleotides) under Nicotiana tabacum (common tobacco). RNAcentral's name for it is "long non-coding RNA (NTAB_LNC018407)". Lineage: Eukaryota; Viridiplantae; Streptophyta; Magnoliopsida; Solanales; Solanaceae. The record is from RNAcentral.
AGUCUUGACAAAUGGCUUGUAACUUAGCAUCCACUGAGGAGUGAAGCGGCUUGUACUCGCCGAAUUCACCCCCGAUGAGCGAGCCAUUAUGGCGGAGGUGGGGGAAAUUCAGGCGAGCAAAGUCACCCCGGAGUUUAAAGGCCGCCUUGUCAUAAGCUAAGGCGGCCUCCUCAGCGGUGUCAAAGGUACCAAGCCAAAGCCGGGUCCGGUUCUUGGGCAAUCGGAUCUCUGCCACCCAUUUUCCCCAGUGGCGUUGUCUAACACCGCGGUAAAGCUUAGGGGGUUUGGGUGGCGAGCCUGAUUGCUUCAUCGAAACCGGCUUUGGACUC